This is a long non-coding RNA of Sceloporus undulatus (fence lizard), 218 nucleotides long. RefSeq lists it as uncharacterized. The transcript has 3 exons. The record is from RefSeq and is a predicted model, not a curated record. Lineage: Eukaryota; Metazoa; Chordata; Lepidosauria; Squamata; Phrynosomatidae.
AACUCUUCUGUCUUUCAGGGUAAAUGGAAAAACAAAGAGAGAGUGCUAAUUUUUUCUUCCAGAGGCAUAAAUUUUAGGACAAGACAUCUAAUGAAAGACUUGCGAACACUGAUGCCCCAUGCUAAAGCAGACACCAAAAUGGACAGAAAGGAUAAACUCUUUGUUAUUAAUGAAGUUUGUGAAAUGAAAAAUUGCAAUAAAUGCAUAUUUUUUGAAGC